GAUGAAGACGCAGCGAAAUGCGAUAAGUAAUGUGAAUUGCAGAAUUCAGUGAAUCAUCGAAUCUUUGAACGCACAUUGCGCCCGCCAGUAUUCUGGCGGGCAUGCCUGUUCGAGCGUCAUUACAACCCUCAGGCCCCCGGGCCUGGCGUUGGGGAUCGGCGGAGCCCCCCGUGGGCACACGCCGUCCCCCAAAUGCAGUGGCGGUCCCGCCGCAGCUUCCAUCGCGUAGUAGCUAACACCUCGCGACUGGAGAGCGGCGCGGCCACGCCGUAAAACACCCAACUCUUCUGAAGUUGACCUCGAAUCAGGUAGGAAUACCCGCUGAACUUAAGCAUAUCAAUAAGCGGAGA
RNAcentral lists this unclassified non-coding RNA (350 nucleotides) under soil metagenome. Its description in RNAcentral is "partial contains 5.8S ribosomal RNA, internal transcribed spacer 2, and large subunit ribosomal RNA". The stretch from base 1 to 119 matches the Rfam family "5.8S ribosomal RNA", at positions 35 to 154 of the family's 154-position model. The record is from RNAcentral.